Molecule: ribosomal RNA, 18 nt
Filed under: Dothiorella viticola
Lineage: Eukaryota; Fungi; Ascomycota; Dothideomycetes; Botryosphaeriales; Botryosphaeriaceae
Also listed under: 1 other name
Description: partial 18S ribosomal RNA
Source: RNAcentral
CUGCGGCAAGGAUCAUUA